RNAcentral lists this ribosomal RNA (544 nucleotides) under Humicola fuscoatra. Its description in RNAcentral is "eukaryotic LSU rRNA". The stretch from base 173 to 326 matches the Rfam family "5.8S ribosomal RNA". Lineage: Eukaryota; Fungi; Ascomycota; Sordariomycetes; Sordariales; Chaetomiaceae. The record is from RNAcentral.
GGCCAACGUAGGUACAAACUCCCUAACCAUUGUGAACGUUACCUAAACCGUUGCUUCGGCGGGCGGCCCGGGUCCUUCCCGGCGCCCCUCGGCCCUCGCGGGCGCCCGCCGGAGGUAAACCAAACUAUUGCAUUGUAUGGCCUCUCUGAGUCUUCUGUACUGAAUAAGUCAAAACUUUCAACAACGGAUCUCUUGGUUCUGGCAUCGAUGAAGAACGCAGCGAAAUGCGAUAAGUAAUGUGAAUUGCAGAAUUCAGUGAAUCAUCGAAUCUUUGAACGCACAUUGCGCCCGCCAGUAUUCUGGCGGGCAUGCCUGUUCGAGCGUCAUUUCAACCAUCAAGCCCCGGGCUUGUGUUGGGGACCUGCGGCUGCCGCAGGCCCUGAAAUGCAGUGGCGGGCUCGCUGUCACUCCGAGCGUAGUAGUUACAUCUCGCUCUGGGCGUGCUGCGGGUUCCGGCCGUUAAAAGCCUUAUUUACCCAAGGUUGACCUCGGAUCAGGUAGGAAGACCCGCUGAACUUAAGCAUAUCAAAAGGCCGGAGGAACC